CGACCGGGGAGGUGGGAUGUGGGGAACAGAGGCUAGAGAGGUACUAAGGGCAAAAAUCUCAGAGGUAGGAAGAAAGGAUAAAUAAUAGCUUGCUGAGCAGAAAUAGGGAAAUUGGAAGGGGGAUAUGAUCUGAGAGAGUUUAAUCUGCCUUAACCGUACUUGAGGCAGAGAGAGGGGCCAAGGGUACAGGCUUCUGCCUUCUGAUCUCAUGGUCUGGUGAAGCAGACAGGAAAGAUACUAGCCUGCAAGACUGAAUGAAAGAAAUUCACUGACAAACUGGCAAAAUCAAUUGCUGGAUGCCAGAGAAAGGGGUUUGAAGAACUGUGAUCAGCUCACAUUUACAGAGGAGGAAACUGAGGCUCAGAGUCGCGGAGAUGGAACUUGAAUCUUUGCUCAGCUCUACAGCCUACGUGCUCACGUUGCCCCUGAGGAGCCUGCAGAGAAGGUUCCCAUGCACACCGCAGCUCCCUGCCCUGGGCUCACCUGGCAAGUGACAGAGCAACAGGGUGGAUCACCUCCACCCACUCCCACUGAAGGUGCCUGGAGGAAACUUCCCCACCUGCUGACUGAAUUCAUGACCUUUAACUCAAGCAGCCUGGGGCAUCUGGGCCUCUGUCAGGUCCUUGAUGGCCUCACGCUCCCUGAUGAUGGUUUCGCACUGUCUCAUCUGACCUCGCCCCUCCUGGAAGCACCCCGGGCCCCAGCUGCUGUGCUCUGAGGUUUACAGUGGGAAAGACUGUCUCUGACAUCAGAGGUCGGCGCGGAGGUCAGGCUGAGCUUCAGACGGGGGUUCCGGCCCACCCCGAGUACAUGGAGGGCCGCCCCAGAGGCCUGCCCUGCCCACGCCCCUGCCCCAUCCCCAGGGCCAGCUCAGCCAGCAGUCACUCCUCUUCCCUUAUUCCCCCUGUGGCAUCUGCUUUUGGGGAGUACAGGUAUUUGAGCAGAGGUUCUAUAGAUACUUUGUUUUUCUUUGGAUGUGCAGGGUUGACAUCUGCCCACUGUGAGGACAACAAUGGGGCCCUGAGACCAGGAUCCAUGUGCCAUAGGACUGUGACUCACCUGGGCAAGGGAGGGGGACACGAAGGGACACAUGGAAGAUUCACGGCCACUCCAGCUUCCGGCCUACAGAGCUGCCCUCUGUUCCACCCUGGUUGCCUGUGCCAGCUCCGCCUCAACAGCACCUGGUAUUCAGGAGAAAGGCAAUGUCAUUUGAGCUGAGCAGCAAAACCCCUCUGAGCCUAAGUGGCCCCGGCUGACAGGGCAUCAAGAUUACAGGGUGGAGACAUCUAACUUGGCUCCAGACUCCCCCUACCCCAGGCCACUGUCCUUUGGCUCACAAGUCUCUUUGUGAGCCAGUUUGUUUAAGGAGCUUUAAAAAUAUAUUAGAAAGCAACGCUUUUAAGGCAUUUGGUUUCUAAUAGCAGUCUAGCUCCCCAACUCUGAGGCAGGCUCCUCCUUCAGGCUACAAGCCAGGGGACCUCCUUGAGUGGCAAGUGUUGCUUAAAACCACAAAUCCCAGAGUUGACCCUGGCAGGCUGAGUGUCCAUCAGGACGCCUGCGCAUGUAGAUGACAUGUCUUUUACCCACGAAAGAGUCUCCUGAGAAAUCAAAGUUGAAGAAGUGACAGAUGUCCAUAAAGUCCCCUCAGUGGAGGAGGUGGUCAUCCUUCAGUGGAGUUGGCAUCCUUCUGACAGGGAGACUAGGCUGGGCACUUUGCAGGAAGCGGGCUGGUUGGCUUCCCUGGCUCCCUAUACGCUGCUCAGCCCCAGAAGACCCAAGUGCAAAGGCCGCACUUUCCAGCACAGGAGCUGGGGGUGGGGAAGGGUAGAGGCAGGAGACGAUGCCUUGCACUUGUUUCUGAGAGCCACAAGACAGAGCUCAGGUUAAAGAGGCCACCUCUGCAGAGUCACUGUUGUAGGUGCUGGGAAGAAAGGGCCAGAGGCUGAGAAGGAAGAGCACUGCAUCUCCACACCAAGACUUCACUCUGUGAAGUCCCAGGUCCUGGCAGCGUGGCCUUCUGUCCUGUCCCUCUGCCUGCCAGGCCAACUCCCUCAUCUUAGUUCUCUCCCAGGGCCCUUGCCCUUACCCCAUAGCAGCCACUGCCUUCGUGCAAGUCUCCUGAGCUUCCCCGGUGCCCACUUGCCUGUCCAGAGAAGGUCCAGUCUGCAAUCUGAGAGCCUGCUGCCACCCUAACCCCCAGAGUGGGGACCUGGGAAAUGCAGAAGGCUGCUCAGGAUAGCUUGAGCUCUGACUGGCCACAGAGACUGGCGCCCUCCCUACAGACUCCCAGCCUGCCCCUGUAGGGUCUCCCAUAGGGCCUGGAGUUACCAAAAUGAUGGUAACAAGGUCAAGAUUCCAAGCUGCACUUGCUGCCUCGUCAAGUUGUUCAAAUAAGACAGUGUGGGGAAGAUGCCCAAGGUGAAUCCAGCGCAGGAGCUGCUGGUGGGAAGGGAUGUUGGGCAGACCUGGGUCUAUUUUCUUCCCCAUCCCUUGCAAGAAUGUCCAUGCCUUUUCAUCUCUCAUAUGUCCAAUAGCUCAAGCUUACCUCCCUCUCAGCGAUUCCAUGGCUUCCUGUUUAACAGAGAAAACCAACAAGCUACCCCGAUUUUAUCAAUAGCCAGCUAUUUCACUUAAGCACUGGGCCCUGCCCUACUUCCUACUCAAGGGCAUCCCUCCUGCAAUUGACCUCUAUCCACCUGCACCCCACCUUUGGCAUCACUUUAGAGCCCAUGAAAUCACGCUGAGAGAGCAAACAUUGAGGUAUGAUUGGAAUAUAAAAGGCGCCCAUUGUUAAGUGUAAAGUUAGAUGAGUUUUGACAAAUGUAUACACCUGGCGUCACCACUGCCACCACUGUCAAGUUACAGAACCUUCCCACCACCCUGUAAGGAACCCCACUGCUGAGAAGUAUGCCCUUGUGCGGACACCGCACAAUUUGUUCAUUUGCCUGUUGAUAACAUAAUUGGGCUGUUUGUACCUUUUGGCUAUUGUGAAUAAACAUAUA
Molecule: long non-coding RNA, 3002 nt
Organism: Talpa occidentalis (Iberian mole)
Lineage: Eukaryota; Metazoa; Chordata; Mammalia; Eulipotyphla; Talpidae
Exons: 3
Source: RefSeq, a predicted model, not a curated record